Molecule: ribosomal RNA, 790 nt
Filed under: Pestalotiopsis furcata
Lineage: Eukaryota; Fungi; Ascomycota; Sordariomycetes; Amphisphaeriales; Sporocadaceae
Also listed under: 1 other name
Description: LSU rRNA
Rfam family: Eukaryotic large subunit ribosomal RNA
Source: RNAcentral
CUCAAAUUUGAAAUCUGGCCCUCGGGUCCGAAUUGUAAUUUGUAGAGGAUGAUUUUGGUGCGGUAUCUUCCGAGUUCCUUGGAACAGGACGCCUUAGAGGGUGAGAGCCCCGUACGGUUGAAUGCCUAGCCUCUGUAAAUCUCCUUCGACGAGUCGAGUAGUUUGGGAAUGCUGCUCUAAAUGGGAGGUAAAUUUCUUCUAAAGCUAAAUAUUGGCCAGAGACCGAUAGCGCACAAGUAGAGUGAUCGAAAGAUGAAAAGCACUUUGAAAAGAGGGUUAAAUAGCACGUGAAAUUGUUGAAAGGGAAGGAUUUGUGACCAGACUUUUUCUGGGCGGAUCAUCCGGGGUUCUCUCCGGUGCACUUUGCCCAGUAAAGGCCAGCAUCGAUUUUCGGCGGCGGAUAAAAGCAGUGGGAAUGUGGCUCCUUACGGGGAGUGUUAUAGCCCAUUGUAUAAUACGCUGCUGGGGAUCGAGGUACGCGCUUCUGCAAGGAUGCUGGCGUAAUGGUUAUCAAUCACCCGUCUUGAAACACGGACCAAGGAGUCGAACAUUUAUGCGAGUGUUUGGGUGUUAAACCCUCACGCGUAAUGAAAGUGAACGGAGGUGAGAGCCUGUAUGGGUGCAUCAUCGACCGAUCCUGAAGUUUUCGGAUGGAUUUGAGUAAGAGCAUAACUGUUCGGACCCGAAAGAUGGUGAACUAUGCGUGGAUAGGGUGAAGCCAGAGGAAACUCUGGUGGAGGCUCGCAGCGGUUCUGACGUGCAAAUCGAUCGUCAAAUCUGCGCAUGGGGG